This 575-nucleotide unclassified non-coding RNA is filed under the name Hevea brasiliensis (rubber tree). The record is from RNAcentral. Lineage: Eukaryota; Viridiplantae; Streptophyta; Magnoliopsida; Malpighiales; Euphorbiaceae.
GUCAGCAACAGCAAGAGCAACCAGUUGAGAGAGACGCUUCAAUGUGUUAAAAAACUGUUAUCAUGUUCCUGUUAGCUUCUGAUCACUUCUCUACUUACAGCUGGCCCAAUCUCUAUAAACACACACAUGCAUAUGCAUACGCAUCCGCAUGCGCCCCACAUGCUCACGUGCAAAGUCAUAAAAUAUCACGAAUCGCGAAAAUCCACAAAAUUUACCUCAGCAAAUGACAAAAUGAAGAGACGCUCCUACUCCUCCGCCUCCACUUCGCCACCGUGGGAUAGACUCUACUCCGGCGGCCGCCGGAUCUGAAGUUAGCACACAUCUAUUAAAAGACAAUAAUAUCCUCACAUUGUGACAUCUAGAGAGAAUCAGCAAACAUUAACAUCAAGGGCAAUUUUGUUACUCCAUAAAAUAUAAAGAUAUUUCAGUUUCCCAGUUCUCAGCCGUUCCUUCCCACUAAUUUCGAUUACCAUAAUACCCUCGAACUAAAAUACUAAAUACAAAAACACCAUCCCACUUUCAUACAAGAAAAUCUACGUACACACCGUUCACUAUGCCGUAUACAAUAAGGGAAU